RNAcentral lists this ribosomal RNA (253 nucleotides) under uncultured bacterium. RNAcentral describes it as "partial 16S ribosomal RNA". It matches the Rfam family "Bacterial small subunit ribosomal RNA", at positions 524 to 776 of the family's 1533-position model. The record is from RNAcentral.
UACGUAGGGGGCUAGCGUUGUCCGGAUUUAUUGGGCGUAAAGAGCUCGUAGGCGGUCUGUUGCGUCGGCUGUGAAAACCCGGGGCUCAACUCCGGGCCUGCAGCCGAUACGGGCAGACUAGAGUUCGGCAGGGGAGACUGGAAUUCCUGGUGUAGCGGUGAAAUGCGCAGAUAUCAGGAGGAACACCGGUGGCGAAGGCGGGUCUCUGGGCCGAUACUGACGCUGAGGAGCGAAAGCGUGGGGAGCGAACAGG